Molecule: ribosomal RNA, 1042 nt
Filed under: Tridacna gigas (giant clam)
Lineage: Eukaryota; Metazoa; Mollusca; Bivalvia; Cardiida; Cardiidae
Description: 16S ribosomal RNA
Rfam family: Bacterial large subunit ribosomal RNA
Source: RNAcentral
UACUUUUUGUAUCGUGGUCUAUAGAGAGUCAUACCAAAGUGGUUUAUCCCGAAAGUUCAGGAGCUACUUAAGAUGUAAUGUGGUCUGUUUCAUAAUACCUGCUAAGCGUUAAAGUAGCGGCGACAUACCAAGCGCAUGAGCUGAUAGCUGGUUGUUACAAAAACAUACUUUAGUAUGGGGGGAUUGAAUUAAGCUUUUCCGAUAAAUCAAGGUGGUAAAGAGCAAAGCAAUUUUAUUCGGGCUGUCGGGGAUAAGCUGGGCAGCGGGAAAAUCAUAAACAAAUCAAGAAGGUAGGGUUAGUAGUGCCCAUCCUUUUAAGUUUUGUCCAAAAUAAUUAUUUGAUAAGAUUAAUGAUGUCAUAUGUAACCCACGCAAGUAACUUUUAUGUGUGGAUUAGUAUAGAAUGAGUAGUUUAACUAUAAAGCAUGGGCUAUUAUAAAAUAUUUGCCUUAUUGUGUGAGAGUAGGUAUGAAAAAAGGUUUUUUUAAGGAACUCGGCAAAUGCUCUCUGCGCCUGUUUAACAAAAACAUCUCUUCUAGAACUAUAUUAGAAGUAGGCCCUGCCCGGUGCCCUGCGGGGUUAACGGCGGUGUUAAGCCUUAAAGUAGCGUGAUAAGUUGGCCUUUAAUUGGGGUCUGGUAUGAAGGGGUUGACGUCGGAGAAACUGUCUCGGAAAGAUAAAAUGAAAUUUACGUCCUAGUGAAAAGGCUGGGAUGGCUGUAAAAGACGAGAAGACCCUGUCGAGCUUGAGGGAUAUGAAUGUUUUAACAACAUGAUUAGGAGUUUGGCUGGGGCAGCAAUGGAGGUAGCCUCCAUUUUUAAAGCAAAGAUCCAUUAGAAAGAGAUAAUGAUAAAAGGAAAAAGUUACCGCAGGGAUAACAGCACAAGACCGCCUCAGAGGUCGUAUCGAAGGCGGUGAGUGUGACCUCGAUGUUGGAUUAGGGUGAACCCUUUCGUGCAGGAGCGAAAGUUGGUGGGACUGUUCUUCCUUUAAUACCCUACAUGAUCUGAGUUAAGACCGGCGUGAGCUAGGUCGGUUUCUA